This 85-nucleotide transfer RNA is filed under the name Felis catus (domestic cat). It matches the Rfam family "tRNA". Rfam says of the family: Transfer RNA (tRNA) molecules are approximately 80 nucleotides in length. The record is from Rfam by way of RNAcentral. Lineage: Eukaryota; Metazoa; Chordata; Mammalia; Carnivora; Felidae.
GCCUGGGUGGCUCAGUUGGUUAAACAUCUGACUUCAGCUCAGGUCAUGAUCUUGUGGUUUGUGGGUUCCGGCCCCAUCUCAGGCU